This is a long non-coding RNA of Mercenaria mercenaria, 1045 nucleotides long. RefSeq lists it as uncharacterized. NCBI's taxonomy places the organism in Eukaryota, Metazoa, Mollusca, Bivalvia, Venerida, Veneridae. The transcript is spliced from 3 exons. The record is from RefSeq and is a predicted model, not a curated record.
UCGCAUUGGCCGCCAGCGGAGCGCAAAGUGCGAAUCACGUGACACAUCUUUGUUCAGUCUAGUCUAAACAGGGGAACAAAGAAGGGAGACAACUUUCACGGAGAAGAAAAUGGCGCCAGAACACUAAUAGGAAGGCAUGAGAGUUGGCGAUUUUAGUCCUGUGGAAAUGUGAAAUGGUGCCAGCCCUUGCAUAUAUCUUCUACCUUCAAUCAACUUCAAGUAUCUUCUGUUAGCGUUGUGAAACAUGACAUUGGCAGAUGGUGCUGGAUUGAAAGGAGAGAAGAUAUACAAUGCUGAAAUUUCUAGUACUGGUAAUACAGGAAAUUUCAAAGAAGUUUUACCAAUUCUAAGGAAAAUAAAAGAAAUCUAAUGAACUUAGAAGAUGGAAAAUUGUUGCUAAAUAUCAGUUUGGAUUGAAGAAAGGUGUGAAAGUGAACAAUUCUGAAAUUUUCAGGAGCACAAAGUUUUAAACCAAUUUUACUGAGGAGACUUAUAGGUAAUCUGACGGCAGUUUGGAGAUCAACAGUCAUGAGUAAGAGUGAUUACCAGAAAGUUUAUACAAAGACUAACAGACUAUAUGGCUUAUUAUAAAUUAAAUCUAACAAAAACUUGACACACAUCAGACAAUUACAUGUAUAAAUGUACAGUACAAUAUCCAAAAAUAGACAGAAAAUCAAAAAAGUGUUCCAGGAACAUCAAAGAACAAUAUUUCUCCUGUUUAGGGAAGGAAAAAAGUAGACUUGCCUCCACAGUGAAUUCAGCUAUAUUAAACACUAGCCUAAAAAAAGACAAAAAUUAAAAGGAAGCUUGUUACUAGGAUUAAACAUGCAAGUUAUUUUCCAUAAACAAAUGUUUAAAAAUACAGAUACACUAAUUCAAAUGAAUGUUAUUUCAGAGACUUUGACCAUCUUAAUUAAAUACAUAUGUGGUGCUAGUUAGUGUUUUUGUGCUCUUUAUAAACUGUUUAAUAUAAAAUUUAAAUUAGUAGAUAUCUUUUGCUUCCAGUAAAUAUGUAAAAUACUUUAAUAAAGCUUUUUAAAACGUA